This 96-nucleotide transfer RNA is filed under the name Melipona quadrifasciata. It matches the Rfam family "tRNA". From Rfam's summary of the family: Transfer RNA (tRNA) molecules are approximately 80 nucleotides in length. Their secondary structure includes four short double-helical elements and three loops (D, anti-codon, and T loops). Lineage: Eukaryota; Metazoa; Arthropoda; Insecta; Hymenoptera; Apidae. The record is from Rfam by way of RNAcentral.
CCUUCGAUAGCUCAGUUGGUAGAGCGGUGGACUGUAGUUGGGAAACAAAGAAAAUCAGGUAUCCAUAGGUCGCUGGUUCGAAUCCGGCUCGAAGGA